CUUAUGCAUGUGUAUGUCAAUGUGUAUCAAAAAUAAUAAUAUAUAAAAGCAACAUCAAUUAUAACAUUUUAAUUAAAUUUAUUCUAGAACAAAAAAAAUAAAAAAAUAAAAUAUACCAAAGUAGUUAAUAUAAUAACGAGAAAAAAAAAAGAAAAAAGAAACAAAAUAGUUACAUACAGCAAACUAGUUAGUAUAUAAAAAAAAAAAAAAAAAAAAAAAAAAAAAAAAAGGUAAACCAAUCUACCAAACCCAAUGCUAAAGCUAGUUUGCCCGGGUCUAAAAGCAGAAAUGCAAGUAAAGGGACAAAGUGUUGUAAAACAAAAGAGGUUGAAAUAGAUUUGCAUCAGUGGUAUAUUGAUAAUAACAUAGAAGAAAAAAAAAAAGAGAGUCAGUACUAUAAAAAUUCUAAAGAUAAAUAUUUUGAAGAUAUAAAGAUAUCUAAAAAUGUAGAAGAGUAUAUAAAUGUUAUAUGUCGUAUAAAAAAUGCGUUAAUAGGAGAAAAUACUGUUAAUGAUCAUGUUACUGAUAAUAAUUCUAAUCAAAUCACGGAAGAUAUUGGUUUUACAGAUGUUAUAAAAAAAGUUUCAUUUAACAAAUUACUUAUUGAUACUCUUCAUUUAGGUACUAAAGGUGCUGUUAAUUUAGAAUAUACAUAUGACAGGGUAUAUGAUAUAAGAGAUACAAAUCAAUUAGUUUUUAAUGAUUAUAUUAUAGGUAAUAUAAAAAAUAUUUUUCAAGGUAUUAAUUGUAGUAUAUUAGCAUAUGGACAAACCAAUAGUGGUAAAACACAUACUAUGCUUGGUAAUUUAGAUUUUUUGCAUAACAUUUUUAACUUAUGUAAAGAUAACCCUAAAAGAAAGAUAAAUGAAUAUAAUAAUAAUAAUAGUAAUAUAACUAUUUCAUAUGACGAAUUAAGCAACUGUAUAAUGAACGAACCUAACUAUGUAGGUUUAAUACCAUAUUGUAUUAAUUAUAUUUUCAAUUAUAUAAGUUAUCAUAAAUUGAAAAAAG
This 1011-nucleotide long non-coding RNA is filed under the name Piliocolobus tephrosceles (Ugandan red Colobus). RNAcentral's name for it is "lncRNA (ENSPTEG00000015074.1)". Lineage: Eukaryota; Metazoa; Chordata; Mammalia; Primates; Cercopithecidae. The record is from RNAcentral.